This 253-nucleotide ribosomal RNA is filed under the name uncultured prokaryote. RNAcentral describes it as "partial 16S ribosomal RNA". It matches the Rfam family "Bacterial small subunit ribosomal RNA", at positions 524 to 776 of the family's 1533-position model. The record is from RNAcentral.
UACGAAGGCCCCAAGCGUUGUUCGGAAUCACUGGGCGUAAAGGGAGCGUAGGCGGCGUGGUAAGUCAGAUGUGAAAUCCCGGGGCUCAACCCCGGAACUGCAUCCGAUACUGCCGUGCUUGAGGGUUGGAGAGGUAGCUGGAAUUCUCGGUGUAGCAGUGAAAUGCGUGGAUAUCGAGAGGAACACUCGUGGCGAAGGCGAGCUACUGGACAACAUCUGACGCUGAGGCUCGAAGGCUAGGGGAGCAAAAGGG